CAGCCGUAAACUAUGCUCGCUAGGUGUCAGGCAUGGCGCGACCGUGUCUGGUGCCGCAGGGAAGCCGUGAAGCGAGCCACCUGGGAAGUACGGCCGCAAGGCUGAAACUUAAAGGAAUUGGCGGGGGAGGCACAACAACGGGUGGAGCCUGCGGUUUAAUUUGGACUCAACGCCGGGAAGCUCACCGGAUAAGACAGCGGAAUGAUUGCCGGGCUGAAGACUCUGCAUGACUAGCUGAGAGGUGGUGCAUGGCGUAGACGUCU
RNAcentral lists this ribosomal RNA (263 nucleotides) under uncultured archaeon. RNAcentral describes it as "partial 16S ribosomal RNA". It matches the Rfam family "Archaeal small subunit ribosomal RNA", at positions 748 to 1009 of the family's 1478-position model. The record is from RNAcentral.